RNAcentral lists this ribosomal RNA (578 nucleotides) under Bacillus sp. (in: firmicutes). RNAcentral describes it as "bacterial SSU rRNA". It matches the Rfam family "Bacterial small subunit ribosomal RNA", at positions 57 to 616 of the family's 1533-position model. The record is from RNAcentral. Lineage: Bacteria; Bacillati; Bacillota; Bacilli; Caryophanales; Bacillaceae.
GCAGUCGAGCGAAUGGAUUAAGAGCUUGCUCUUAUGAAGUUAGCGGCGGACGGGUGAGUAACACGUGGGUAACCUGCCCAUAAGACUGGGAUAACUCCGGGAAACCGGGGCUAAUACCGGAUAACAUUUUGAACCGCAUGGUUCGAAAUUGAAAGGCGGCUUCGGCUGUCACUUAUGGAUGGACCCGCGUCGCAUUAGCUAGUUGGUGAGGUAACGGCUCACCAAGGCAACGAUGCGUAGCCGACCUGAGAGGGUGAUCGGCCACACUGGGACUGAGACACGGCCCAGACUCCUACGGGAGGCAGCAGUAGGGAAUCUUCCGCAAUGGACGAAAGUCUGACGGAGCAACGCCGCGUGAGUGAUGAAGGCUUUCGGGUCGUAAAACUCUGUUGUUAGGGAAGAACAAGUGCUAGUUGAAUAAGCUGGCACCUUGACGGUACCUAACCAGAAAGCCACGGCUAACUACGUGCCAGCAGCCGCGGUAAUACGUAGGUGGCAAGCGUUAUCCGGAAUUAUUGGGCGUAAAGCGCGCGCAGGUGGUUUCUUAAGUCUGAUGUGAAAGCCCACGGCUCAACCGU